Tinamus guttatus (white-throated tinamou) is the source of this 143-nucleotide non-coding RNA. NCBI's taxonomy places the organism in Eukaryota, Metazoa, Chordata, Aves, Tinamiformes, Tinamidae. The record is from RefSeq and is a predicted model, not a curated record.
AAUAUGCAGAAUAAAAUAAGUGACACCCCUCAAAGUGGAGGUACUUUUGAGAAGUAUGACAGAGCACAACGUUUGUACCUGCACCAUACUCUCUAUACAGAUUCCUGAACUUGAAGACUUGCUGUAGGAAGGAAGAAAAUUAU